AUCAUUCUUAUGUGGACAAGGAAGCUUGGCGCUCAGCCCUGGAACACCGCUUGACACUGCAUUUAUAUUUUUCACUUUUUGUUUAGAUUUAAGUUUUAAUGUGGAGUCAGGAAAGCUGUGCCUUUUAUUUAUUCACUGUGAUUUGGAAAGUCAACUUUAUUGAGUUUGUCAUAAGUCUACUUUAACUCAUGAACACAUUCACCUCUAAAAACGGAACGAGAGAGUUCCAGAUACCCAGACAUAUUCUAAAGCUCUACAAGAAAUGUGGUGACAAGUUCCUUGGAAGCUUUUCAAAACUUUUCUACCUUAUCUUCUCCUGCUAGAUACAGUGCGGCGGUUCUGAGCAGCACAGCCGCUCAUGUGUCUGCUGUUCUUGCUGCAAAAACCAGACUCUCCAGUCCUGAAAAGUAUCACUCACUCCUGGAUGCAC
Molecule: long non-coding RNA, 430 nt
Organism: Myotis lucifugus (little brown bat)
Lineage: Eukaryota; Metazoa; Chordata; Mammalia; Chiroptera; Vespertilionidae
Exons: 3
Source: RefSeq, a predicted model, not a curated record